RNAcentral lists this ribosomal RNA (546 nucleotides) under Curvularia lunata. RNAcentral's name for it is "eukaryotic LSU rRNA". The stretch from base 181 to 334 matches the Rfam family "5.8S ribosomal RNA". The record is from RNAcentral. Lineage: Eukaryota; Fungi; Ascomycota; Dothideomycetes; Pleosporales; Pleosporaceae.
CGGAGGGAUCAUUACACAAAUGAAAAUAUGAAGGCCCUUCAAACCGGCUGGAUUAUUUUUCUUCACCCUUGUCUUUUGCGCACUUGUUGUUUCCUGGGCGGGUUCGCUCGCCACCAGGACCACACCAUAAACCUUUUUGUUAAUGCAAUCAGCGUCAGUAAAAAGUAAUAAUUAUUUUACAACUUUCAACAACGGAUCUCUUGGUUCUGGCAUCGAUGAAGAACGCAGCGAAAUGCGAUACGUAGUGUGAAUUGCAGAAUUCAGUGAAUCAUCGAAUCUUUGAACGCACAUUGCGCCCUUUGGUAUUCCAAAGGGCAUGCCUGUUCGAGCGUCAUUUGUACCCUCAAGCUUUGCUUGGUGUUGGGCGUUGUUUGUCUUUGGCCUUGCCCAAAGACUCGCCUUAAAACAAUUGGCAGCCGGCCUACUGGUUUCGCAGCGCAGCACAUUUUUGCGCUUGCAAUCAGCAAAAGAGGUUGGCCAUCCAUCAAGACUACAUUUAUACGUUUGACCUCGGAUCAGGUAGGGAUACCCGCUGAACUUAAGCAU